GCAGAUGUAACUUGAAGCAAAGAUUAAACUGAUUUUAGGCAGACAACUAGGAGAGAAAGGUGAGGUUAGAAAAAGUUUUCUGAUAAGCUCUGGUUCAAAAUACCUUUUUAUCUAAUACAAAAGAUAAUUUUAGGCCAGUGCAGUGGCUCAUGUCUGUAAUCCCAACACUUUGGGAGGCCAAAGUGGGCGGAUCACUCGGGCCCAGGAGCUUGAGACCAGCCUGGCCAACAUGGUGAAACCCCGUCUCUACAACAUUGAAAAAAAAUUUAAGUCCCAGCCACUCAGAACGCUGAGAUGGGAGGAUCACUUGAACCCAGAAUGGUUGAUGUGCAGUGGCGUGAUCUCAGCUCACUGCAACCUGCAUCUCCGGGGUUCAAGCAAUUCUCCUGCCUCAGGCGUCUGCCACCAUGCCUGGCUAAUUUUUGUAUUUUAAUAGAGAUGGGAUUUCACUACGUUGGCCAGGCUGGUCUCGAACUCCUGACCUUGAGUGAUCCCGCCUCCACCUCCAAAGGGCUGGGAUUACAGGCGUGAGCCACCACACCCAGCCUAAAGUUGGUUUUGAAAUAAAAAUUGUGUGUGAUUGACCUUGAGAGCUAAACCUUGCUCUGUUGGAGCUUUCCCCAGUUAGGUACCCUGCCUGUCUUUCUUGAGCCUUAGUCCCUUGGCAGCUGUCCUGUGCUCUGGAUAAACAAGUACUGAGUUACCGUGCCUCUGACUGAGACCGUAGGGAAGGAAAUACCAAGUAGCCCCCCACUGCCCCCCACUCAGGCUGUCUAGGGAGUCGGGUUUCUUUAACUUUUAAGAACACUACAUGGAAGCAUUAAGCACACCACACUGUCACUGCCAGCUAGCUUAGUGGCUGUGUAAGCCACAAAAUAUGAAAUCUGCGUAUCUGGUCAAUUUUGUCCUAAGAAGGGUAGUAGUGUUAGUCUGUUCUUGGCGUUGCUAUAAAUACCUGAGGUUAGGUAAUUUACAAAGAAAAGAGGUUUAAUUGGCUCAUGGCAGGCUGCAUGGCACUGGCUUCUGGUGAAGCCUCAAGGAGCUUUUACUCGUAGCCAAAGACAAGAGAGCAGGCCUGAGAGAAGAAGCAAGGGAGUGAGGCGGGAGACUUGAAAACAAUCAAAUCUCACUUGAAGUAACUGAGCAAGGGGAUAGUGCUAAACCAUGAGGGAUCCAAACAUCCAAACCAUAUCAAGGUAGAAACUGAAAUGAACUUCACUUCCUUUUAAUUACAUAUUGAAGGGAAGCUUCAAGGGCCAGAAGAAGACAGAGACACUGAAGUAGAAGGGGAGGAUUCAGUGGGAGAUCCCAAGAAGCCUAGCAAGCGUUCUUCUAAGGUAAGUGCAGGGAUAGCUGUGCUCAUUUGCUUGGUGUUUAUAGUAAUUGUCAUCAGGAGCUAAUAUUUUACAACUGUACUGAUGUGCAGAACUUAAAAUUCAUCGUGGCCAGAAUUUACAUUUUGUGUGGACCAAAAAUAGAAAUGAAAACAUGGGAGUUCACUUAGACUUACAAAGUUACAGUAAAUUAAACUGAUUUGAUACUGGCCCAGAAGACACAAAGAGAAUAGGACAGUAAGCCUAAUAACUGACAAGUGUUUAAAUAUGUGGUAGAGUAGCAUUUCAAAAUAGUCAAGAAAAGAUGGACUAUUUAAUAAGCCAAUUUUACCAGCACCAAAUACCUACUUAGAGAAGGGGCAAGUGAUCUGCUGUCCUCCGCCUCUCAAAGUGCUGGGAUUACAGGCGUGAACCACCACACUCAGCCAAGAAUAUACAUAUUUCAGAGGUGGUUCACAUCUGUAAUCCCAGCAGUUUGGGAGGCCGAGGCAAGAGGAUCACUUGAGCCCAGGAGUUAAAGACUAGCCUGGGCAACAUAGUGAGACCUCAUCUCUCUGUAGAUUAAGAUAUAUAUAUACACGCACACAUAUACACACAUAUAUAUAAUAUAUAUAUAUAUUUAAGCUAAUUUUAGGUGAGUACAGUGGCUCGUAUCUGUAAUCCCGACACUUUGGGAGGCCAAAGUGGGCCUCCCAAAGUGUGUGUGGGUGUAUGUAUAUAAAUACAUACACACAUAGAAUACAUACUAAUAAAAAAUAGGUAUAGCCAAAUAGGAAAAAGGAAAGAAUAUGAUAAAAAUAGUUCACCAAAGAAGAAAUACUAAUGAUCAAUGGAAAAAAAA
Long non-coding RNA from Macaca fascicularis (crab-eating macaque), 2175 nucleotides. NCBI's taxonomy places the organism in Eukaryota, Metazoa, Chordata, Mammalia, Primates, Cercopithecidae. The record is from Ensembl.